AGGACUAACGCUGGCGGCGUGCCUAACACAUGCAAGUCGAACGAGAGUAGCAAUACUCUAGUGGCAGACGGGUGAGUAACACGUGGUCAACCUACCUUUAAGUGGGGGAUAACUAGCCGAAAGGUUAGCUAAAUACCGCAUACGAUCUUCGCGUGGCAUCACACGAAGAUGAAAGGAGCAAUCCGCUGAAAAAGCGGGACCGCGUCCCAUUAGCUAGAUGGUGGGGUAACGGCCUACCAUGGCGACGAUGGGUAGCUGGCUUGAGAGAGCGACCAGCCACACUGGGACUGAGACACGGCCCAGACUCCUACGGGAGGCAGCAGUGAGGAAUUUUCCGCAAUGGGCGAAAGCCUGACGGAGCGACGCCGCGUGUGGGAAGAAGGCCUUCGGGUCGUAAACCACUGUCGAAGGGGAAGAUAUUGACGGUACCCUUGGAGGAAGCCCCGGCUAACUACGCGCCAGCAGCCGC
Molecule: ribosomal RNA, 469 nt
Filed under: uncultured bacterium
Lineage: Bacteria
Description: SSU rRNA
Rfam family: Bacterial small subunit ribosomal RNA
Source: RNAcentral